CUGUCACAGCCACAGCUUAAGGCUGUGGACUGUGGUAGUGCUUCCUGUUCUCUCUCUCCUAGGUGUGUUCAUGGUGAAGCUAGCAGCAGGUGUGCUGCAUCGUAAUCAGCAGAUGAGCUGCAGGUGGAGCUGAGUGACUGGUCUCUGAACGUCUCUAUAAAAGCAGAUGGCACCCAUCAUUUGAAAGUGGACUGUCGUCUAAUCUCCAAAAGCUGAUUCCUGCCUGCUGAGUUGCCUUGGUUCCUUCGUCUGCUGGUUUUCCGCCCAACCACGGAUUCUGCCUUCUUCUCCGGAGGAUCUCCACCUGACGCCAGCUUAACCUGGGAACAUCAACGUACACCUGGAAAGAGGACUUUCUCUGGAAACAUCUGCCACGACCGGGUUCUACUGACACCAACUUACCAAGCACAUGGUGAACACCAGGAGGGAGAGUUCUGGAUGAAGCCAAACCAAAAGGACUGUUCUCAGCUCAUCAGCUAAGUCUCCAAGCCCUAGUAUCACCAGACUCUUUGUAUUGUUAAUACGUCAAAUUAAAUAAUCAGCGUUCCGUAUUUAACUUAAUGUAUUUUAUGCUCUGCAUAGGAUAGCUUUAGUCUGGGGUUUCAGUUCAUAAUUACUGGUAGUCUAGGCUGGGUUAGUUUGGUAUUUUCAGUUGUUUCUUGGUGUUUCCAUACGUGGGUUAACCUUAGUUUCAGUCUCCAUGUUCAUGUAGUUAUUCCUCCGUACCUCUAGAUGGGUUUUGUUUUUGAGUUCUAGUAGUAGUUUAGUUCUUCUUUGUCUAAGAUUCUAGUUCCGGUUCCUGUAUAGAGUUUCUUGUUGUGAAUAAAAGCAUUUUUAAAACGUUCACGCUGGAGUUAUUUCAUUUCCUGCUCCUGAGCCUUUUGAACCUGCCGUAACGCUCUUUCACUCAUGCAACGUUGUUAAAAUUAGGCACAUCCUGUCACUAAUGCUGAAGAACUAGUCCAAAGAAAGAGCUAUUCUCCGCUCCACUGUUGGAUUUUCUUAUUACCAGGAUAUCCCAACAACUCCACGAAAAGCCUCCACUGAAAGUACUGACAGCGACCAG
Amphiprion ocellaris (clown anemonefish) is the source of this 1066-nucleotide long non-coding RNA. The record is from Ensembl. Lineage: Eukaryota; Metazoa; Chordata; Actinopteri; Pomacentridae.